Molecule: non-coding RNA, 232 nt
Organism: Prunus avium (sweet cherry)
Lineage: Eukaryota; Viridiplantae; Streptophyta; Magnoliopsida; Rosales; Rosaceae
Source: RefSeq, a predicted model, not a curated record
GUCUGACUGACAGUUUUACCUUCCUGAUGAUAUCUUGCAGACAUACCCCAAUCCAUUACAAGACAAUCCUUCCUAUUCAGUUGUUAAGCAGUAUUUCGUUAAUGCGGAUGAUACCGUUGCCCAAAAGAUUGUUGUUCAUAAGGAUAGCCCAAGAGGGACACACUUUCGGCGCUCUGGACCACGUCAGAAGGUAUAUUUCGAAUCAGAUGAAGUGCAUGCAUGUAUUGUGACA